Long non-coding RNA from Lolium perenne, 2954 nucleotides. RefSeq lists it as uncharacterized. NCBI's taxonomy places the organism in Eukaryota, Viridiplantae, Streptophyta, Magnoliopsida, Poales, Poaceae. The record is from RefSeq and is a predicted model, not a curated record.
CCCACUCCCUAUUUCUCCUGCACAUCUCCCCCAUUCUCUCCACGCACAAGAUCGGAGGUGCCUUCCGAUCAAACCGCCCCAGCAAGGUCGAACGGCGCUGCCCUCAUCAUCGGCAGGAUCGGGACGCCGGCCUUACUCGCGCUCCUCCGUCCCAUCCAGCUCGGUCGAGCGCCGCCACCCUCCUCCGCGCCCAGACCGCUCGAACGCCGCCGCCCUCCCAACCGGCGGGAUCGCAUCCGCCGCCCUCACCCACGGCGUCUUGCUCCGCACACGCGUUAAUGCCGCUGGCCGCACCCAGGACUGCCUCCUCGGCAACCGCGAGAACGCCGCCGCCCGCACCCGCGAGAUUGCCGCCGCCCUCCUGAAGGUAACAACCUCUUCUCCAAACCUUCGUAGUAGUGGAGCCUUCAGGUAAUUCGUGUAUUUGUUGAUCCGUUCAGCGUAUCUGAACUACUUCUAGAUCAAGGUUGGUAUUUCUAGCGUUAUAGUUCGCUGAAUUAAAUAGCAGCUUAUAAACUAGAGCUUGCCUGGAGUAAUUUUAAGUUGGCUAUUGUACUGCCGCUACCUAUGUUUUGAUGAUAAUCCGAAAGAGAUGAGUUGUUGAUGUUAUGUUUCGCGUGCACCACUGACUACAAUUAUUUUGAGUUGGCUAACUAACUGAACUGUAUCCAUGUGAAAUUGAUAAGACUCUCUGAAUUUUGAUGUGGUUGAUUUUGGUGCAAGUGUGAUUUAUUUUCUCGGUUCUUUUUUAUUAUGAUGAAUAGGAAGCGUGCCGGCGCGUUGCUGCGGGUAAGUGCUAUGCAUUACGACUGAUUGAUUUACGUUAUCAAUAUAGUAAAAUUUGAUCCUACUGAUCAGUCACCUCUAUGUCGCUUCGAGACGUCGUAAAAUCAUAUGUUGAGGAUAAGUUUUACACCCUGCUGCAGUUUGUAUCCUUUAGAUUUUAAGGAGCAACUGUAUAGGACUUACAACUCAAAUAUCCAUUGAAUUAUGGAACGAUAUAUUCGGCCCAUAAAUCAAAUCAAAUUGGGUACAUAUUAGGGAUUAUGGUACAAGACGGAUUCACAGAUUAUAUGUACUCGUGCAAUUGCGGAGCUAGAAUUGUAUAAUUUAUUAUUUCGAAGCAUAGGUAAUAUAGUUAUAUCAAACUCAUGAUCUUCCAUUUGAUCUGUUUAGGUAGCAAAUUUUUGUGGAACGAAAAUAAAUAAGCCUCCAAAAACGAUUAUACCCGACUGGAUAAAUGCUCUUUUCAUUGGAGUGAACCAGCAUACCAACAAAUCGUACCCACUUCUGAAUUUCUAUGAAAUGAUAAAACGGGCACCACACCAUAAGACCUAGCAUCACGAUGGGAUUCAGUAUUUUUUAUUGCAAACAGCAGUUCCAGCCAAGGGGUUCAGUAUUUGUAUGUAGUAUAUUAGAUAAAAAGGAAAGAAAACACGUGGAGCUAAGCUAGGACCUCACAUGUUGAUCGUUUGGCAGAAUGCAAACUGUUGAAGCUGCGAAAAAUACUCGGCCGGCAGGUUGAGGUUGGCAUGUCGCGUUGACUACAGACUACGUGUGUCUUCUUCCGUCUCGUCUUCCCUCCGUUUAGUCACCAGAAGUGAAAUUACCUUCAGUUUAGGAGGAAGAAAUAACUGACCAAGAAGUCUACCUAUGCUUGCCUAGUUGUUUUAGUCCUCGUGUCUGUCUCCGCUCUUCAAUUUCACAUAGAGAGUACAUAUAGCUGCCGGCCGGUGCGUGUUUUACUCGUUUUUCCAUUUCCAGGUCCAGUCGGGCCGGGGGACUGCCGUACCCUAUCGACAGAGCACGCACUCUGUGGAAGCUUCUACAACGGUGUGUAGGUGAAGACGAAGGACACAAAGGUAUGGGAGGAGACGUCAUUGCCAUCGCAAAUUACGAGCAGCUAGCCCAGCAGCUCACAGGUUGCUCUCCAGACCUAUGAACCCAAGGGCAAACAGGUUGCUCUCCAAACAAUAAAUUAAACAGCCGUUCUUCCGUCAGAGUUAACACGAGAGACCGAACCAGUCUCACUUUUUCAUCGGAGGCACGAUGAGACGGAAGAAGACGCUGACACAGCCCGCUACACCAGCCUUGAAUCGGUCGACCGGCAAGGACGCCGCUGCUUGUUUCCAAGCUUCACUCUAUCGAGCUGGUGAUCUCGAAGCGCUCGUCGUCGGAGAGCUCUCCUCGCCCACGACCUCAUCUCGUAAUUUGUGCCAAGAACAAGAAGAAUCGAGAAGCUGUGAAGCAUCACCAAACUAGAGGCUCUAUGUCUUAUCCAUUUCAUUUCCACAAACUUAAAAACGACAAGAACAACAAUGAGGACCCUAGUCCCAUUGAGUUUUUCAGAGAAACUCAUACCAAUAGGAUGCACGAGCGUCGCUGCCCUUGAAGCUUAUACUGAUAUGGAAACGAAAAGGAGUGAAGCAGAAAGAGAAGAUGACAAACCACUGUCUGGUACACAUAUUGUGGCGGAAGUUCUCAAAGAGCACAACUCCUCAAGCACCUUCUUUUCAACCAUGGGGUACCAAUCAAGAUCUGGGAGGUCUAGGACAUCAGCUUCUAAAGAACGCGUUCAAGAGUUAAAAGAAAACGUUGAACAACAGAAGAGAGAGGUAAUAGAUGCAAAUGUGAUGUACCACAAGAGGCUGCACUUGAAGAGAUGCAAAUAAAGCAACAAGAAGAAUUGUCGGCUAUGAAGAAGAGCCAAGAAAAAAAUAUAUGGCAAAAAGCAAGAGGAACAAGACAGCCUUAUUAGCAUCCUCUUACGGAAGCAUGCUACCCAGAACUAGACACCAUACAUGACACGGAAGCCAUUACUAGAUGGUGGUGCUAUUGUACCAUCAACUUAGUUUGCUCGUCCUUAGUUAUGUCAAUUUUAUAGUGCUUAACUUAUGUAAGACGAUAUUUGGCAGUGAGAUUAUAUUUACUUGUGAGCUAAAUAUAUAUUGUGA